Molecule: ribosomal RNA, 156 nt
Filed under: uncultured bacterium
Lineage: Bacteria
Description: partial 16S ribosomal RNA
Rfam family: Bacterial small subunit ribosomal RNA
Source: RNAcentral
UGAGGAAUAUUGGUCAAUGGCCGGAAGGCUGAACCAGCCAAGCCGCGUGAAGGACGAAGGUGCCAAGCAUUGUAAACUUCUUUUGUCAAGGGACAAAAUCAGGCUCGAGAGCCUGACCGAGGGUACUUGAAGAAAAGCAUCGGCUAACUCCGUGCC